Molecule: long non-coding RNA, 447 nt
Filed under: Gossypium barbadense (sea-island cotton)
Lineage: Eukaryota; Viridiplantae; Streptophyta; Magnoliopsida; Malvales; Malvaceae
Description: long non-coding RNA (GBAR_LNC001661)
Source: RNAcentral
UAGAAGAAUCUCGCUCCCUAGAAUAAAUCGCCAAAAGGAGAGUUAUUAAACAUGAUUACUUCAGGCAAAACCAAAGAGGAAACGAGAGAAAUAACAUGAUGGAAAGGGAGAAAGAACUUGCCCUGACCCCUAAUCAAAUGCUCAAGAACCCACUUCAAAAGCUGAAACACGAUAGGAGUUGAGAGAGUUGCAGAGGGGUUCGGCUCCCAGAAAAAAUAGUGUCGGUUCAGAACCAAAGAAGAAAAACUAGAUUCGGCAAGAGUUACAGAGUAGAAAAAGAAUAAUAAUAAUAAGAAGAAAGUAUACGGCUAAUAGACCAAAAGAGAAUAUGAAAAAUGAUGACCGAUUGGGAGGAAGGGAAUGAGGGUUUGGCAAAUUGUGAAGAAGAUUAAGGAAGGAAAAAGAGGAAGAUCGAUUACUCAAACACAACCUUGAAGACAAAACCAC